This 963-nucleotide ribosomal RNA is filed under the name Oesophagostomoides stirtoni. RNAcentral describes it as "large subunit ribosomal RNA". The record is from RNAcentral. Lineage: Eukaryota; Metazoa; Nematoda; Chromadorea; Rhabditida; Strongylidae.
AAAUUUUGUUUGUUUAUUGUUUGGUAUUGCAUAUCAUUUAAGGAAAAUUUUAUAAAUAAUAAAUAAUAAAAUUGGCGGGUAGAAAAAUUUAUUAUUUUUGUUGUUUCAUAAUAAGAAUUAUAAUUUUUAGGGUUGAAAAGUCGACCACCAGGAUAUUUGUGUUGUUUUUGAAAUUAGAAAGUUAUUGUGUUUAAAUAUAUAUUAUUAUAAAAAGUAAGAGUUGAAGUAUCUUUUUUUUUAGUUUUAUAACGGUUUAUAUUUGUAUAUAGUGGAUUAUUGAAGUAUAUAAUAAUGUUUUAUUAUGUAAUUUAUUUUAAAAUUAGUAGUAAAGUUUAUAAAUUAAAUUUUUAUGUUAAAUAUAAUUAAAAAACUCAAAAAUUAAUUAAAUGUUUUUUAAAGACUUAGACUUUUUUAUAAAGUUUGCUUCUGCCCAGUGAUAUAAAAUUAAAUGGCAGUCUUAGCGUGAGGACAUUAAGGUAGCAAAAUAAUUUGUGCUUUUAUUGAGUUCCAGUAUGAAUGAAGUUAUUGGUUAAUUUAUUUUUUAAUUUUUAAAUGAAUUUUAAUUAAUAUAAAAAAGUAUUGUUAUAAUAAAACAAAGAUAAGUCUUCGAAAAUUCUUUUUUAAAAUUAAUAAAAAUUAGUUUUAAAAAUUUUCUAGGGCAGAAUUUUAUAUAAUUAUAAUAUCUAUUAUUAAUUUAAGGAAUUACUUCGGAGUUAACAGAAAAUCAUAUCUAAUCUAGUUCUUAUAGUAAGAUAAGUUUUACAUCGAUGUUGUAUUUAAGUUUAUUAAAAAAGGAGAAGAUUUAAAUUUUAAGACUGUUCUUCUUUUAAUUAAUUUAACGUGAUAUUAGUUUAAUUCAUUGUGAGAUAGAAUUGUUUAUCUUGUUUAUUAUUUUUGUAGAAUUUUAAUAGUACGAAAGGAAAAUUAAAAAAAGUUUUAAACUUUUGAAGGACUUAGGGUUCA